Carassius carassius (crucian carp) is the source of this 424-nucleotide long non-coding RNA. RefSeq lists it as uncharacterized. The record is from RefSeq and is a predicted model, not a curated record. The transcript has 2 exons. Lineage: Eukaryota; Metazoa; Chordata; Actinopteri; Cypriniformes; Cyprinidae.
CCUCUUCCUGUUGCUACAAAUGCAAAAAGAAAAAAAAUUCCAGACAAUACUUCAGAAGAGUCAAAACGAGCAACAAGGAACAAAGACAUUUCAAAGCAGAAAAACAACUCAUUUCACCUGACCAACAUACUGUGCUGUGUACAGACCUCCAAAGAUGCCUUUUCCACAGUUUCUAACACUAUAUGGGGGCAAUAUGACCAAAAUGAGUAUAAUGACUUCACUUCCACUCAGCAUUUUGUUAGUGGGUUUGCAGGCAAUGACUGAUGUAAAAUUUUCAUGUCCGUGCAUUCAUAAGUGGAACAUAGCUAUAUUAUUUUUAAUCUUUGUUGCUCCUGCUUUUGUUGCUUUUGUUAUAAUGCUAUUUUUAUUAAGGCCUUGGAAAUAUGAAUGUGGAUGGAAUAAAUGGAAAUGUGGCUGUUGUGGA